CAAGUCGAACGGUAGGGACCUUGAGUUUUCGGACGAAGGGUUUUGAGAGUUUUGAACGGGUGAGUAACACGUAGGUUAUCUGCCUCUGGAUGGGGGAUAGCCCAUGGAAACAUGGGAUAAUACCGCAUGAAGCCGGGUGUCGUAGAGGCGCUGGGUGAAAGGCGCUUUUGUGCCGUCUGGAGAUGAGCCUGCGGUCCAUUAGUUAGUUGGUAGGGUAAAGGCCUACCAAGGCGAUGAUGGAUAGCCGGCCUGAGAGGGUGUACGGUCACACUGGGACUGAGACACGGCCCAGACUCCUACGGGAGGCAGCAGCUAAGAAUCUUCCGCAAUGGGCGCAAGCCUGACGGAGCGACGCCGCGUGGACGAUGAAGGCCGGAAGGUUGUAAAGUCCUUUUCUUGGAGAAGAAUAAGGUGAGGAGUGGAACGCCUUGCUGAUGACGUUAUCCAAGGAAUAAGCCCCGGCCAAUUACGUGCCAGCAGCCGCGGUAACACGUAUGGGGCGAGCGUUGUUCGGAAU
RNAcentral lists this ribosomal RNA (517 nucleotides) under uncultured bacterium. RNAcentral's name for it is "bacterial SSU rRNA". It matches the Rfam family "Bacterial small subunit ribosomal RNA", at positions 58 to 551 of the family's 1533-position model. The record is from RNAcentral.